Molecule: non-coding RNA, 912 nt
Organism: Callorhinus ursinus (northern fur seal)
Lineage: Eukaryota; Metazoa; Chordata; Mammalia; Carnivora; Otariidae
Source: RefSeq, a predicted model, not a curated record
ACAUCCGGUGUUAGAAGAGCUGCGUAGGCUCCUGGGAGGCUGGUAAGAAGAGCGGAGGCUGUGUCCCACAGACUCUGGCAUCAUGAACAUAUUUGAUCAGAAGAUCAACUGUGAUACACUCUUAAAAUUUUCCCACAUAACCCCCUCGACACAGCAGCACCUGAAGAAGGUCUAUGCCAGUUUUGCCCUCUGUAUGUUUGUGGCGGCCAUGGGGGCCUAUGUCCAUGUCGUCACUCAUUUCCUUCAGGCUGGCCUGCUCUCUGCCUUGGGCUCCCUGGGGUUGAUGAUUUGGCUGAUGACAACACCUCAUAGCCAUGAAACUGAGCAAAAAAGACUGGGACUUCUUGCUGUAUUUGCUUUCCUUACAGGAGUUGGCCUAGGCCCUGCUCUGGAGCUGUGCAUUGCCAUCAACCCCAGCAUUCUUCCCAACGCCUCCACGGGCACAGCAAUGAUCUUCACCUGCUUCACCCUGAGCGCCCUGUAUGCCAGGCGCCGGAGCUACCUCUUUCUCGGAGGUGUCUUGAUGUCAGCCAUGAGCCUGAUGCUCUUGUCUUCCCUGGGGAACCUUUUCUUUGGAUCCAUUUGGCUUUUCCAGGCAAACCUGUAUGUGGGGCUGGUGGUCAUGUGUGGCUUUGUCCUUUUUGAUACUCAACUCAUUAUUGAGAAGGCUGAAAAUGGAGAUAAGGAUUAUAUCUGGCACUGCGGUGACCUCUUCUUAGAUUUCAUUACUCUCUUCAGAAAGCUCAUGAUGAUCCUGGCUAUGAAUGAGAAGGACAAGCAGAAAGAGAAGAAGUGAAAUGACCAUGCAGGCUUUCCCAUUUUGACCUCUGUCCCUCACCCCUCAUUUCCUCUUCGCGCACAUUGCAGGUGGUGUGUUCUGUGAUAAUGAAAAGCAUCAGAAAAAAAAAAAAA